This 253-nucleotide ribosomal RNA is filed under the name uncultured bacterium. RNAcentral describes it as "partial 16S ribosomal RNA". It matches the Rfam family "Bacterial small subunit ribosomal RNA", at positions 524 to 776 of the family's 1533-position model. The record is from RNAcentral.
UACGGCGGGCGCGAGCGUUAAUCGGAAUUACUGGGCGUAAAGGGCGCGUAGGUGGUUUGGUAAGUCGGUUGUGAAAGCCCCGGGCUUAACCUGGGAAUUGCAUUCGAUACUGCCUGGCUAGAGUAUGGUAGAGGGAAGCGGAAUUCCGGGUGUAGCGGUGAAAUGCGUAGAUAUCCGGAGGAACACCAGUGGCGAAGGCGGCUUCCUGGACCAAUACUGACACUGAGGCGCGAAAGCGUGGGGAGCAAACAGG